This 253-nucleotide ribosomal RNA is filed under the name uncultured bacterium. RNAcentral's name for it is "partial 16S ribosomal RNA". It matches the Rfam family "Bacterial small subunit ribosomal RNA", at positions 524 to 776 of the family's 1533-position model. The record is from RNAcentral.
UACGGGGGGAGCAAGCGUUGUCCGGAAUCAUUGGGCGUAAAGAGCGUGUAGGCGGCCAGAAAAGUCCGCUGUGAAAACUCGAGGCUCAACUUCGAGCUGUCGGUGGAAACUUUCUGGCUAGAGUCCGGAAGAGGAGAAUGGAAUUCCUGGUGUAGCGGUGAAAUGCGCAGAUAUCAGGAAGAACACCCGUGGCGAAGGCGGUUCUCUGGGACGGUACUGACGCUGAGACGCGAAAGCGUGGGGAGCGAACAGG